Molecule: long non-coding RNA, 527 nt
Organism: Manis pentadactyla (Chinese pangolin)
Lineage: Eukaryota; Metazoa; Chordata; Mammalia; Pholidota; Manidae
Exons: 2
Source: RefSeq, a predicted model, not a curated record
GUAACUUCCAUUUUGCCUACACCCUGUGACUGACCUGUUUUAUGCAGGAGCCGUCUGCAUAAAGAAGGACUAGGACCCUGUGCCAGGCAUUAUGGAGGGUAUUUCCUGGGCCCAGGCUCCUGAGACAUCUGCAAGCUGAUGAAGAUAAAAGGAGCAUCUUUUGUUAUUCAUAGCUAGCCCCUUUCAGCCCAAUUUGAGUUCACGUUCAAGAGAUGGCUUUCGGAAGCCCCGCGGGAAUGGGGGCCGGUUGCUAAGGGAACCAACGCUGUCAUUAGAGGUUGAACUAAUCACCGAUGGCCAAUGAUUUAAUCGAUCGCGCCUGUAUAAUGAAACCUCUACAAAAACCCUAACGGAAGGGCUCCGAGAGGGUCUGGUCGGUGCGCACGUGGGGAGGCAGGGAGGACGGCUGGCCCGGAGACCGCAUGGACGCUCCGUGCCCCUUCCCCACCCCAUCCCGUGCCCUGUGCAUCCCUUCCCCUUGUAUCCAUUGUAAUAAACCAAUGAUAACAAGUAAAGCACUCUCCGGA